GGGCGAGGACGGCCUCGCUCCAUUCUCAAAAUCCGCAGGGACGGCCCUG
RNAcentral lists this non-coding RNA (49 nucleotides) under Pseudorhodoplanes sinuspersici. RNAcentral describes it as "Guanidine-II sequence". It matches the Rfam family "Guanidine-II riboswitch aptamer (mini-ykkC)". Rfam says of the family: Simpler in structure and has fewer highly conserved nucleotide positions than the ykkC-yxkD leader. Lineage: Bacteria; Pseudomonadati; Pseudomonadota; Alphaproteobacteria; Hyphomicrobiales. The record is from Rfam by way of RNAcentral.